This 64-nucleotide transfer RNA is filed under the name Teispes insularis. RNAcentral describes it as "tRNA-Thr". The record is from RNAcentral. Lineage: Eukaryota; Metazoa; Arthropoda; Insecta; Coleoptera; Cerambycidae.
GCUUAAAUAAUUUAAAAAAAAUACUGGUCUUGUAAAUCAGCAAUGAGUUAAAACUCUUUUAGCA